This is a non-coding RNA of Camellia sinensis, 265 nucleotides long. The record is from RefSeq and is a predicted model, not a curated record. Lineage: Eukaryota; Viridiplantae; Streptophyta; Magnoliopsida; Ericales; Theaceae.
UCAGAAAUUGCGAUCCUGAGCUUUUGCGGAGAAUAGGCGAUGCAACUGCUCUUGAAGUCAGGGCUACUGGGAUUCCUUACGUCUUUGCUCCUUGUAUUGCAGUUUGUAGAGACCCUAGAUGGGGUCGGUGUUAUGAGAGCUAUAGUGAAGAUCCCAAAAUUGUUCGAGAAAUGACCGACAUUAUAUUGGGGUUACAAGGAGAAAAUCCAAAUAGUUCUCUUAAGGGAGUACCCUAUGUUGCAGGAAGAAGCCGAAGAAUUAAAUC